This 465-nucleotide ribosomal RNA is filed under the name Vreelandella stevensii. Its description in RNAcentral is "partial 16S ribosomal RNA". It matches the Rfam family "Bacterial small subunit ribosomal RNA", at positions 338 to 795 of the family's 1533-position model. Lineage: Bacteria; Pseudomonadati; Pseudomonadota; Gammaproteobacteria; Oceanospirillales; Halomonadaceae. The record is from RNAcentral.
CCUACGGGGGGCUGCAGUGGGGAAUAUUGGACAAUGGGGGGAACCCUGAUCCAGCCAUGCCGCGUGUGUGAAGAAGGCCCUCGGGUUGUAAAGCACUUUCAGUGAGGAAGAACGCCUGGUGGUUAAUACCCUUCAGGAAAGACAUCACUCACAGAAGAAGCACCGGCUAACUCCGUGCCAGCAGCCGCGGUAAUACGGAGGGUGCGAGCGUUAAUCGGAAUUACUGGGCGUAAAGCGCGCGUAGGUGGCUUGAUAAGCCGGUUGUGAAAGCCCCGGGCUCAACCUGGGAACGGCAUCCGGAACUGUCAAGCUAGAGUGCAGGAGAGGAAGGUAGAAUUCCCGGUGUAGCGGUGAAAUGCGUAGAGAUCGGGAGGAAUACCAGUGGCGAAGGCGGCCUUCUGGACUGACACUGACACUGAGGUGCGAAAGCGUGGGUAGCAAACAGGAUUAGAUACCCUAGUAGUC